UUCCGGGGCGGCUCUAAUUAGCUGGAAGGAAAGCUUGCGCUGUGGCCUAGCAGAUGAGAAUAGUCAGGCACAGUGGGACAGGUUGGACCAUUCACCUGAUGAUAGAUGUGGGAUGAGAAAAAGAACUGGAACUUAAGUUGGAAUUAGGGGAUGAAUAAAACCCAUAAACUGUAGGAAGGAAGACAGCUCUGAAAAUGAAGAAAUCCAGGCUCCAGGAGUGCAGAACCUGGGUAACUCAAAACUAUGGAUCCCUUCUAUGAAUAUGGGUGAGGAGUAACAGAAACAAACGCCUGAAAGACAGCUGCAUCACUAAAAGCCCACUGCAGCAUGGAUGACAGCUCAUGAAAGCUGGAAACAUGGAGUACACCCAGGCAGCUCAGUGGGAGAGUGCCUUUUCCAGGCAGCCUGUCUAAUCUGAGAGUAUCUCUCACCAGUCCACGUGGCUUCUAUAUGCUUGUGAGCUUAAUCAGCUUCCCUACAGGAUUGAAUGUUUGACUUCCCUUUAGAACAUUCUGAGUCUUAAAGAACUUCCCUGAAAAAUGGUGUUUCUGUUAACAAACUUGCUUGUAUUCUAGGACUAAACACUUAAGUAAUAAAGUAUCAUGUCUGGAACUUA
Molecule: long non-coding RNA, 616 nt
Organism: Nannospalax galili (Upper Galilee mountains blind mole rat)
Lineage: Eukaryota; Metazoa; Chordata; Mammalia; Rodentia; Spalacidae
Exons: 4
Source: RefSeq, a predicted model, not a curated record